CCUACGGGCGGCAGCAGUGGGGAAUCUUGCACAAUGGGGGAAACCCUGAUGCAGCGACGCCGCGUGAGUGAAGAAGUAAUUCGUUACGUAAAGCUCUAUCAGCAGGGAAGAAACACUGACCUUACGGUCAGCCGACGGUACCUGAGUAAGAAGCCCCGGCUAACUACGUGCAAGCAGCCGCGGUAAUACGUAGGGGGCAAGCGUUAUCCGGAUUUACUGGGUGUAAAGGGAGCGUAGACGGUGCGCCAAGUCUGGAGUGAAAUGCCGCAGCUUAACUGCGGAACUGCAUAAGAAACUGGCGAACUAGAGUGCGGGAGAGGUGAGCGGAAUUCCAAGUGUAGCGGUGGAAUGCGUAGAUAUUAGGAAGAACACCAGUGGCGAAGGCGGCUUACUGGACCGUAACUGACGUUGAGGCUCGAAAGCGUGGGGAGCGAACAGGAUUAGAUACCCUUGUAGUC
Molecule: ribosomal RNA, 458 nt
Filed under: uncultured bacterium
Lineage: Bacteria
Description: partial 16S ribosomal RNA
Rfam family: Bacterial small subunit ribosomal RNA
Source: RNAcentral